Molecule: ribosomal RNA, 492 nt
Filed under: uncultured bacterium
Lineage: Bacteria
Description: partial 16S ribosomal RNA
Rfam family: Bacterial small subunit ribosomal RNA
Source: RNAcentral
AGUGAACGCUGGCGGUGGGCCUAACACAUGCAAGUCGAACGGCAGCACAGUAAGAGCUUGCUCUUACGGGUGGCGAGUGGCGGACGGGUGAGGAAUACAUCGGAAUCUACUUUUUCGUGGGGGAUAACGUAGGGAAACUUACGCUAAUACCGCAUACGACCUACGGGUGAAAGCAGGGGAUCUUCGGACCUUGCGCGAUUGAAUGAGCCGAUGUCGGAUUAGCUAGUUGGCGGGGUAAAGGCCCACCAAGGCGACGAUCCGUAGCUGGUCUGAGAGGAUGAUCAGCCACACUGGAACUGAGACACGGUCCAGACUCCUACGGGAGGCAGCAGUGGGGAAUAUUGGACAAUGGGCGCAAGCCUGAUCCAGCCAUACCGCGUGGGUGAAGAAGGCCUUCGGGUUGUAAAGCCCUUUUGUUGGGAAAGAAAAGCAGCAGGUUAAUACCCCGCUGUUCUGACGGUACCAAAAGAAUAAGAACCGGCUAACUUCGUG